Molecule: ribosomal RNA, 300 nt
Filed under: uncultured Desulfotomaculum sp.
Lineage: Bacteria; Bacillati; Bacillota; Clostridia; Eubacteriales; Desulfotomaculaceae
Description: bacterial SSU rRNA
Rfam family: Bacterial small subunit ribosomal RNA
Source: RNAcentral
GUACACGGAGAGCAAGCGACGUCAGUAAGACGAAGGGUGUAAGUGUUGCGCUGAAUUACUGGGCGUAAAGCGCAGUGCGGCUGCUUGCUAAGUCGGGAGUGAAAUCCGGGAGCUCACUUCCAUAAUUGCCUUCGAUACUGGAAGGCUCGAUUCCGUGAGAGGUGAGUGGGACUGCGAGUGUAGAGGUGAAAUUCGUGGAUAUUCGCAAGAACACCAGGGGCGAAGGCGGCUCACUGGCCCGGUACUGACGCUGAGGUGCGAAAGCGUGGGGAGCAAACAGGAUUAGAUACCCGAGUAGUC